GAUCUAAGUUAGCCCUCGCUUAUGGGCGAUAAUAUAGAUAAAGGGCGAAAAAUUUAGAGGUUCGGUCAGUGUAUGGACCGAGUGACGUGAGGCAUCGACCGCUGCCUAGUCGGUCGGGAUCGGGUCUUACAAGUAUGGUGCCAGCAGCCGCGGUAAUUCCAGCUCCAAUAGCGUAUAUUUAAGUUGUUGCAGUUAAAAAGUUCGUAGUUGAACCUUGGGAUGGGUCGCCCGGUCCGUUUUCGGUGAGCACCGGUCGGCUUGUCUCUUCUGUCGGUGAUAUGCUCCUGGCCUUAACUGGCCGGGUCGUUCCUCCGGUGCUGUUACUUUGAAGAAAUUAGAGUGCUCAAAGGAAGCCUACGCUCUGUAUACAUUAGUAUGGGAUAACAUCAUAGGAUUUAGAUCCUAUUGCGUUGGCCUUCGGGAUCGGAGUAAUGAUUAACAGGGACAGUCGCUGUGACACUCCCGAUCGUAGAUGACCAGAAAUGACACAGUCGAUAUUCCUCGAUGUUCUCAGAAUACGUCCGAUCGCCUUAGACCAACA
Molecule: non-coding RNA, 541 nt
Filed under: Brassica napus (rape)
Lineage: Eukaryota; Viridiplantae; Streptophyta; Magnoliopsida; Brassicales; Brassicaceae
Also listed under: 1 other name
Description: Eukaryotic small subunit ribosomal RNA
Rfam family: Eukaryotic small subunit ribosomal RNA
Source: Rfam by way of RNAcentral